UUUUGGGUUUGGAUGAUCGCUUUGAUGUAGGGACAAUCCUCGGAUUGUCCCUACAAAAUCAGAGAGGAAAGUCCGGACUCCUUCAAGCAGGGUGCUGGCUAACGGCCAGGGUUCGCACUUUGUGCGGAUACGGAAAGUGCCACAGAAACUAUGUACAGGCUUCGUUAUGCGAGGUGCUGUAGUGAAAAGGGUAAACCCCACCCGGAGCAAGGCCAAAUAGGCCCCGUGGAUUUCCUUUCUUUACGGAAGUGGAAAUCGUCAGUGCUUGUCUGAUUAAAGAGAAGUGAAUAACUUUUUCUUUUGACGGGGUGGGUAGGCUGCAUUGAGCCUUUUAGUGAUAAAGGGCCCAGAUAAAUGAUCAUCGCCCCGUUACGCGGGGCUACAGAAUCCGGCUUACAGAACUUAAAAAUGC
Molecule: RNase P RNA, 412 nt
Filed under: Deltaproteobacteria bacterium GWA2_45_12
Lineage: Bacteria; Deltaproteobacteria
Also listed under: 1 other name
Description: RNase P RNA component class A
Rfam family: Bacterial RNase P class A
About the family: Ribonuclease P (RNase P) is a ubiquitous endoribonuclease, found in archaea, bacteria and eukarya as well as chloroplasts and mitochondria. Its best characterised activity is the generation of mature 5'-ends of tRNAs by cleaving the 5'-leader elements of precursor-tRNAs.
Source: RNAcentral